Molecule: long non-coding RNA, 479 nt
Organism: Mastomys coucha (southern multimammate mouse)
Lineage: Eukaryota; Metazoa; Chordata; Mammalia; Rodentia; Muridae
Exons: 4
Source: RefSeq, a predicted model, not a curated record
GAAAUACUUGAAGGUUUGAAGACUUUAACUGCUCAAAUCCCCAAUAACUAAAGUGGACAAAUGCCCUACAAUACUUGGAAUUUACCUACUGAAUUCAGGGAUUACCUCUUUAGAAAAACAUUGAUGCUUGCGUUCACACACAGAAGUUAAUGUCUCACUCCAUGCAGGAAGACCCAGUGAAUGACACUAGAAGAAAAUCCUAAAACUGCACAAAGAGAAAAGAGAAAAUCUACAAGGAUGACACAAAUAGAUGUGCCAAAGUGCACAGGGAAAAACCAUGAAAGCUCAACCCUACACAUAGAACUAUAGAGGACUAAGGAAUUCUGAGAGUGGAAGAAACCAUCUCCCCCAGGAAAACAAAACAAAACAGGAUUUGUAGAAGAGGAUUCUUUGUCCAGGCUCUGUGUGAAUCAGCAGAGUGAUACGGUGUCCCCAAAAUGUAGCUGCCAUCCUGAAAUAGAUUAAAGAGUGAUCUGAAU